AACGAACGCUGGCGGCAUGCCUAACACAUGCAAGUCGAACGAGACCUUCUGGUCUAGUGGCGCACGUGUGGGUAACGCGUGGGAACAUGCCCUUAGGAUCGGAAUAACUUCCCGAAAGGAGUUCUAAUAACGGCUAAGGUCCUCGGACUAAUGAUUUAUCGCCUUUGAAUGGGCCGGCGGUGGUGUAGCUAGUUGGUAGGGUAAAAGCCUACCAAGGCGACGAUCCAUAGCUGGUCUGGGAGGAUGAUCAGCCACACUGGGACUGAGACACGGCCGAGACUCCGACGGGAGGAAGCAGUGGGGAAUAUUGGACAAUGGGCGAAGGGCUGAUCCAGCCAUGCCGCGUGAGGGAUGAAGGCCUUAGGGUUGUAAAGCUCUUUUACCCGGGAUGAUAAUGACAGUACCGGGAGAAUAAGCUCCGGCUAACUCCGUG
This 433-nucleotide ribosomal RNA is filed under the name uncultured bacterium. RNAcentral's name for it is "partial 16S ribosomal RNA". It matches the Rfam family "Bacterial small subunit ribosomal RNA", at positions 29 to 507 of the family's 1533-position model. The record is from RNAcentral.